This is a long non-coding RNA of Homo sapiens (human), 1662 nucleotides long. Ensembl annotates it as long intergenic non-protein coding RNA 635. The record is from Ensembl. NCBI's taxonomy places the organism in Eukaryota, Metazoa, Chordata, Mammalia, Primates, Hominidae.
AGCAUAGCAACAGCAGCGUAGCUGAACAUCUUACGGAUGGCCCAGGGCUCCAAAGGCUCGUUUCCUAAGUGAGAGAGAGCCUGGCUGAAGCUGUAUUACCAUUCAUUCUCCAGCCUCCGAAGUCUCAAAGCAUCACUUCCACCAUACUCUAACUGUCAAGACAAACACAAAGGCCCAGAGAAGGGGUCUCACUAUGUUGUCUGGAGUGCUGUGGUGGAGUGGAGUGGCUAUUCACAGGAUUCUUGGAAUGGACUGUAAAAGUCUGGAAUCAAGACUUUGUGUUUCCUCUCUAACAUGUAAAGAGCUUAGAAGUUGUCGCUAUUGCCCUUACAACAAAAUGAAGCUGGACAAACUGAAAAUCAAUGACUUUUCUUGGACUCACUAUACAGCUGAGUUUGCAGAGUAAACCACUACCCUGAAAUCUGGAAAGGCAGGUGCACCCACAGAUCCUCAGCUGAGAUCCAAUUACCUGAAAUAGAAGCUGCCAUUAGGAACACUUAAAAGAGCCUGUUCUGCUGGGACACAGAAUCACUUGCUCCAUCUCAUACAUUGAUGAUGAUUAAUUUGUAUGUGUACCUUCCAAAAAAGAUGGUUGUGUUUGAAUGGAGGCCUUCUGGACAGGAAAAUUGCAAAGUACAAUUAACAUUUGAGUCUGUCUGAGUCAUGAAGAAAUGGAGAUUACUGAAAAUAAUUCAUUUUGGUAUCUUCUUACAUCCUGAGAGACUAAUCUUUCCAAGUUCAUCUGAGGCUCCUCUUCUCCAUGACAACCUCAUCCAGGGAUUUCUUCCUGUCCUGGUGUUUUAUGACAUGUGGAAGGGGACUGUAGCAGGUGAUCUCCAAAGUCUCUGGAGACUUACUAAUGUGCAUCCUCAUCUCGCUUGUAAGGAUAAUAGCCUUCCUCCAAACCUCACACACUUUUGGAGGAGAUCACUUUUUUUAAAGUGCAUGGAAAUGUUUUGAAACAGUGAAAUCUAUAAUGAUAGGUUUCAUAAUUCUAACAUCCACACCAUAUGAAUCACAUCCUUCCUGAGAUAAUGAGCACACAAUUGCCUGGAUACCUGAAGGAAUGGAGACAGCGGCAGAAAACACUGCAGAGAGAUACAGUGAACCCACAUGUUGAAGCUUUCUAGUAUAAUAAAAAUUUCAACUGUUCUGUUGAAUCAUCUGCCUGAUUGGAGGCUACAGAAAAGAUGUCAUCUUAGGAGUGCUUGCUCUGAGUGAGGCUCAUCUUCAAAUCUGAAUGACCACAAGGAGAUUUGAUUAUACAUGUGAACACCUCAGAAGGCACAGCCCACCCAGAAGGCAGACAGAAGAAGCUGCCAGGAAGACUGUGAAAUCUUCAUGCCCAAGGAUCCCUAAAAUUAGGAGCAACAACCACUUGGCUCAGACGGUUUAUGGAGGCAAAGGUUUGGAUGGGAUUAGAGAUUUCUAAAUGUGAGUUCGUGUCCUCUGCCAGACCACCUUACUUCCACCAUUCCUCAGCAAAUCAAGAAAAACAGGAGAAAAGACAUGCCUUUCCAUAAGUUAAAUCUAUUCUGUUUUAAUUCUAUAUUAUAUCUGCUGUACAACUUCUUUUGUUUGUAACACCAUAUUGUUGCUAGUAACUGGAAAUUAAUUUUCACAUGCCUCAGCUUAGAAAAAUAAAAAGCAGCCCUGCAUCAA